This 854-nucleotide ribosomal RNA is filed under the name uncultured Alphaproteobacteria bacterium. Its description in RNAcentral is "bacterial SSU rRNA". It matches the Rfam family "Bacterial small subunit ribosomal RNA", at positions 527 to 1382 of the family's 1533-position model. The record is from RNAcentral. Lineage: Bacteria; Pseudomonadati; Pseudomonadota; Alphaproteobacteria.
GAAGGGACCUAGCGUAGUUCGGAAUUACUGGGCUUAAAGAGCUCGUAGGUGGUUAAAAAAGUUGAUGGUGAAAUCCCAAGGCUCAACCUUGGAACUGCCAUCAAAACUUUUUAGCUAGAGUGUGAUAGAGGUAAGUGGAAUUUCUAGUGUAGAGGUGAAAUUCGUAGAUAUUAGAAAGAACACCAAAUGCGAAGGCAACUUACUGGGUCACUACUGACACUGAGGAGCGAAAGCAUGGGUAGCGAAGAGGAUUAGAUACCCUCGUAGUCCAUGCCGUAAACGAUGUGUGCUAGACGUUGGAAAUAUAUUUUCAGUGUCGCAGCGAAAGCAUUAAGCACACCGCCUGGGGAGUACGACCGCAAGGUUAAAACUCAAAUGAAUUGACGGGGACCCGCACAAGCAGUGGAGCAUGUGGUUUAAUUCGAAGAUACGCGCAGAACCUUACCAACACUUGACAUGUUCGUCGCGAGACUAAGAGAUUAGUCUUUUCAGUUUGGCUGGACGAAACACAGGUGCUGCAUGGCUGUCGUCAGCUCGUGUCGUGAGAUGUUGGGUUAAGUCCCGCAACGAGCGCAACCCUCACUUUUAGUUGCCAUCAUUAAGUUGGGCACUUUAAAAGAACUGCCAGUGAUAAGCUGGAGGAAGGUGGGGAUGACGUCAAGUCCUCAUGGCCCUUAUGUGUUGGGCUACACACGUGCUACAAUGGUACUUACAAUGGGAUGCAAAGAGGCGACUCUUAGCUAAUCCCUAAAAUGUACCUCAGUUCGGAUUGUACUCUGUAACUCGAGUGCAUGAAGCUGGAAUUGCUAGUAAUCGCGGAUCAGCGCGCCGCGGUGAAUACGUUCCCGGGUCUU